This 649-nucleotide ribosomal RNA is filed under the name uncultured marine bacterium. RNAcentral's name for it is "bacterial SSU rRNA". It matches the Rfam family "Bacterial small subunit ribosomal RNA", at positions 232 to 885 of the family's 1533-position model. RNAcentral also lists the same sequence under 1 other name. The record is from RNAcentral.
CGCGGCCUAUCAGCUUGUUGGUGGGGUAAUGGCCUACCAAGGCGACGACGGGUAGCCGGCCUGAGAGGGUGUACGGCCACAUUGGGACUGAGACACGGCCCAAACUCCUACGGGAGGCAGCAGUGGGGAAUCUUGCACAAUGGGCGAAAGCCUGAUGCAGCGACGCCGCGUGGGGGAUGACGGCCUUCGGGUUGUAAACCCCUUUCGCUAGGGAAGAAGCCACUUUGUGGUGACGGUACCUGGAUAAGAAGCACCGGCUAACUACGUGCCAGCAGCCGCGGUAAUACGUAGGGUGCAAGCGUUGUCCGGAAUUACUGGGCGUAAAGAGCUCGUAGGUGGUUUGUCGCGUCGUCUGUGAAAUCCCGGGGCUUAACUCCGGGUCUGCAGGCGAUACGGGCAUAACUAGAGUGCUGUAGGGGAGACUGGAAUUCCUGGUGUAGCGGUGAAAUGCGCAGAUAUCAGGAGGAACACCGAUGGCGAAGGCAGGUCUCUGGGCAGUAACUGACGCUGAGGAGCGAAAGCAUGGGGAGCAAACAGGAUUAGAUACCCUGGUAGUCCAUGCCGUAAACGGUGGGCGCUAGGUGUGGGGAUCUUUCUACGAUUUCCGUGCCGUAGCUAACGCAUUAAGCGCCCCGCCUGGGGAGUACGG